AGAGUUUGAUCCUGGCUCAGGAUGAACGCUGGCGGCGUGCUUAACACAUGCAAGUCGAAUGUAGCAAUACAUGGCGGACGGGUGAGUAACGCGUGAGCAAUCUGCCCAUAUCUGGGGGAUAACAGUUGGAAACGACUGAUAAUACCGCAUAACAUGGUUUGAAGGCAUCUUCUUUCCAUCAAAGAUUUAUCGGAUAUGGAUGAGCUCGCGUCUGAUUAGCUUGUUGGUGAGGUAACGGCUCACCAAGGCGACGAUCAGUAGCCGACCUGAGAGGGUGAUCGGCCACAUUGGAACUGAGACACGGUCCAAACUCCUACGGGAGGCAGCAGUGGGGAAUAUUGGGCAAUGGAGGAAACUCUGACCCAGCAACGCCGCGUGAAUGAUGAAGGUCUUCGGAUUGUAAAGUUCUUUUCUAAGGGAAGAAGAAAGUGACGGUACCUUAGGAAUAAGCCUCGGCUAACUACGUGCCAGCAGCCGCGGUAAUACGUAGGAGGCGAGCGUUAUCCGG
RNAcentral lists this ribosomal RNA (508 nucleotides) under uncultured bacterium. RNAcentral describes it as "bacterial SSU rRNA". It matches the Rfam family "Bacterial small subunit ribosomal RNA", at positions 8 to 548 of the family's 1533-position model. The record is from RNAcentral.